GAUGUUUUAGUGUUAGUGUUUUGACAACAGUCGAACAAGAUGAAAGGUUUUGUGCUAUUCCUGGUUGUCGUGCUUCUUGCGUACACGUACGCUGCCCCACAAGCAACCAACUAUGGUAACGUGCACGCUUCAGGUGACUCUUCAGCUUCUGGAGUUGUUUCGAACUCAACUUUCGGUGACGGAGCAUUCGGUAAAGGCCAUGGUGAAAAGAGGUGUGGUAUCGUCCAACAGCUUGUUACAGUAUUUUGGAAUGUUUGUUGAAACAAAAAUAAAGUGAAAUGAUUUACCAUACACCAUUUUUGUAUUAGUCUGAUAAUAAUAAUGCUGAAAAUGUUAUGAAAUAAAUAAGUAAAUAAUUAUAAUUUUAA
This is a long non-coding RNA of Helicoverpa zea (corn earworm), 368 nucleotides long. RefSeq lists it as uncharacterized. Lineage: Eukaryota; Metazoa; Arthropoda; Insecta; Lepidoptera; Noctuidae. The transcript is spliced from 3 exons. The record is from RefSeq and is a predicted model, not a curated record.